RNAcentral lists this ribosomal RNA (279 nucleotides) under uncultured bacterium. RNAcentral's name for it is "partial 16S ribosomal RNA". It matches the Rfam family "Bacterial small subunit ribosomal RNA", at positions 506 to 784 of the family's 1533-position model. The record is from RNAcentral.
UGCCAGCCGCCGCGGUAAUACGGAGGGGGUUAGCGUUGUUCGGAAUUACUGGGCGUAAAGCGUACGUAGGCGGAACAGAAAGUUAGAAGUGAAAUCCCUGGGCUCAACCUAGGAAUUGCUUUUAAAACUUCUGUUCUGGAAUUAAGGAGAGGAAAAUGGAAUAUCCAGUGUAGAGGUGAAAUUCGUAGAUAUUGGAUGGAACACCAGUGGCGAAGGCGAUUUUCUGGACUUAUAUUGACGCUGAGAUGCGAAAGCAUGGGUAGCAAACGGGAUUAGAUA